CCUUCCUGAACCUCUCCCUCUUGGAUUUGUUCUCAGUCUUCUGUAAAGUGGAAGGGAAUAAGAAGUCAGCCCUCUUGUAUGGAAGAAUGGUACAUCUGACAACAAUGACCUGUGACACUUGCCCUUUAAGAUGAGGAGCCUUGUGCUGCGUCUCCAGUGAGAUUCUGCCCAGAAAAGUCACAAGAAUUAAAGAUGAAGAGGAUUUCUGCACAGUAAAAGGGCUACAAGGCACACUUCACAGAAACGGACUGAUCAUUACAAGUAGUAUUCACCAGAUGAAGAAUCUGAAGAUCAAAGAAUUUAAACAACUUGUGCAAGAUCCUAGUGCCUGAGCAGGACUUUGAAGCCAGGUCAAUUUGAUAGCAAAUGCAAAGUGUGUUCUACUUGUCCUGAAUGGUCUUUGACAACUAUAAUAAAU
Long non-coding RNA from Marmota monax (woodchuck), 418 nucleotides. RefSeq lists it as uncharacterized. The record is from RefSeq and is a predicted model, not a curated record. Lineage: Eukaryota; Metazoa; Chordata; Mammalia; Rodentia; Sciuridae. The transcript is spliced from 5 exons.